AGGACUUCUGGGAAAUUCUCCUGAGAAGCAGGAUCUUGAGGCUGGAGACACAGAAGGGAGUAAAAAGAGGUGCUGUUUCUAGGAGCCAUUCAUUACACCUGUGGAGAUUUCAUUCACACACAGAAAUCCCAAUAUUGAGGGUUCCUGUUUAAAGCAUUGCUGGUUUCUGUCAAGAAACCUAAUUUCUUUAAAGACUUUCAUUUCCAUGAACUAUUGAGAUACUGGACUCAAAUUGGUCUGAAUCUCUUCAUUUUGGGAAGAACAGGGUCAAUGUUCAAUAGACUGAAGGAAAGAAUGUCUGUCAGGGACUGAAAAACAUGAGUAGAGACUAUCAACCUCAUUAAUAGAACCACAUCUCAGAACCUAAUGUGAGAGCAGCAAUGAAAUAAAAACAGACU
This 398-nucleotide long non-coding RNA is filed under the name Monodelphis domestica (gray short-tailed opossum). RNAcentral describes it as "lncRNA (ENSMODG00000033815.2)". The record is from RNAcentral. Lineage: Eukaryota; Metazoa; Chordata; Mammalia; Didelphimorphia; Didelphidae.